UGGGUGGCAAGUUAAUUGAUGGCACAGAGUCGCCGCGUUUUUUCCUGAACCAUUCAGCUUUCUUGUGUUUGAAUAGGAAUGAAAUGGAAGUGUAUGAGCAAGGACGAACCAAUCCCAUCCCUUCAACAAAAGAGAAAAGGAGAAAAAAAAGGAGAAGUAAAAAGAAAACCAAGCACAGAGGAAUGGGGAUAGAAGAGUAGGUUUGAACAUCAAAUAAACACCCGGUGUCAAAAACACUCUACAUGCUAUCCUAUCCCCAAAUCAAUGCACCACAUGAAUGAUAACUUGUACAUAGUCCCCGAGAGUGAAACUGAACAUCGUUAACAUACCAUCCCAUCUUUAUGUUUGGGUCACAAAAACCCAAUAUAUAUAAUAACCUCCACACCCCACAUGGGAAAGAAGAAUUUAAUUCAAAUCAUGACACA
This 425-nucleotide small RNA is filed under the name Histoplasma capsulatum. RNAcentral describes it as "hypothetical RNA". RNAcentral also lists the same sequence under 1 other name. Lineage: Eukaryota; Fungi; Ascomycota; Eurotiomycetes; Onygenales; Ajellomycetaceae. The record is from RNAcentral.